UCAGGACGAACGCUGGCGGCGUGCCUAAUACAUGCAAGUCGAGCGGACCGACGGGAGCUUGCUCCCUUAGGUCAGCGGCGGACGGGUGAGUAACACGUGGGUAACCUGCCUGUAAGACUGGGAUAACUCCGGGAAACCGGGGCUAAUACCGGAUGCUUGAUUGAACCGCAUGGUUCAAUCAUAAAAGGUGGCUUUUAGCUACCACUUACAGAUGGACCCGCGGCGCAUUAGCUAGUUGGUGAGGUAACGGCUCACCAAGGCGACGAUGCGUAGCCGACCUGAGAGGGUGAUCGGCCACACUGGGACUGAGACACGGCCCAGACUCCUACGGGAGGCAGCAGUAGGGAAUCUUCCGCNAUGGACGAAAGUCUGACGGAGCAACGCCGCGUGAGUGAUGAAGGUUUUCG
This 407-nucleotide ribosomal RNA is filed under the name Bacillus licheniformis. RNAcentral describes it as "bacterial SSU rRNA". It matches the Rfam family "Bacterial small subunit ribosomal RNA", at positions 24 to 420 of the family's 1533-position model. The record is from RNAcentral. Lineage: Bacteria; Bacillati; Bacillota; Bacilli; Caryophanales; Bacillaceae.